This is a non-coding RNA of Oryza barthii, 162 nucleotides long. The record is from Rfam. Lineage: Eukaryota; Viridiplantae; Streptophyta; Magnoliopsida; Poales; Poaceae.
UCAGCUAAGGUUGCCUUUUUCAAGCAAGUAAACUAGUGGCUUCAGAUCCGGAGAUUCCCAAAUAGGUCAACCUUUUGAACUGCCUGCUGAAUCCAUGAGCAGGCAAGAGACAACCUGGCGAACUGAAACAUCUUAGUAGCCAGAGGAAAAGAAAGCANAAGC